This 222-nucleotide ribosomal RNA is filed under the name uncultured bacterium. RNAcentral describes it as "partial 16S ribosomal RNA". It matches the Rfam family "Bacterial small subunit ribosomal RNA", at positions 118 to 341 of the family's 1533-position model. The record is from RNAcentral.
UGAGCAAUCUGCCCUUCACAUCGGAAUAACCAUUGGAAACGAUGGCUAAUACCGAAUAUGACUUCGGAUCGCAUGGUCUGAAGUGGAAAGCUCCGGCGGUGAAGGAUGAGCUCGCGGCCUAUCAGCUUGUUGGUGAGGUAAUAGCUCACCAAGGCGAUGACGGGUAGCCGGCCUGAGAGGGUGACCGGCCACACUGGGACUGAGACACGGCCCAGACCUCCG